GGCAGCACUCACCAUGGGCUGGACCCUCCCCCAUUGAUCACUAAAUGAGAAAAUGCCUUACAGUUGGAUCUCAAGGAGCUUUUCCUCAGCUAAGACCCCUUCCUCUGAUGACUCUAGUUUGUGGAAAGUUGACACAGAACCAUUUAGUACAAAGUCAGUUAUGUCUCAGAUACUAACAAUAUCCAGUUGUCCUGAUUAGUUUUUUGUCAACUUGAUAGGAGCUGGAGUCAUUUGGAAGAGGAAACACAAUUGAGAAAAUACCCACAAAGAUUGGCCUGUAGGACUGACGUUGACGUCAUCAGUGUCAUAGAAUUUCUUCACAGCCUGUUUGCUCUGGUGCCUGUUGGCCUUGCCGUCCCAUCGAGCACACCUGACUUGUCGCCUGUCUCUUCAGGGCUGACUCAGUGGUCAGGGGACACGUGAUAACAGCACACUGGUCAGCCUUGUUGCUCCUGGAAAUGCUCUUGAGAAGGUUUUCGAGCCACUUCAAGAGCCUCGGGGUCUUGGGCUGGGGGGUGGGCGACUAAGGGAUCUUCUUUCGUGCUUGGUUGUGGACGCCGUUCAGCACUCACUGCCUUCUCUGUUUUCAGAGCCUUUGCUUGGGCUUUGGCCAUGGGAGGGCAGGAGCCCUUCUUCACUUUCAGCUCCGUCUUUCAAAAGCUAGAAUGUGAUUUCGAUUCAUUUGGAUGAUUUUAUUCUA
Long non-coding RNA from Peromyscus leucopus (white-footed mouse), 700 nucleotides. RefSeq lists it as uncharacterized. The record is from RefSeq and is a predicted model, not a curated record. Lineage: Eukaryota; Metazoa; Chordata; Mammalia; Rodentia; Cricetidae. The transcript has 2 exons.